UACCAGCACCCCGAGUGGUCGGGACGAUUAUUGGGCCUAAAGCAUCCGUAGCCGGUUUUACAAGUCCUCCGUUAAAUCCAGCUGCUUAACAGAUGGGCUGCGGAGGAUACUAUAAGACUAGGAGGCAGGAGAGGCAAGCGGUACUCAGUGGGUAGGGGUAAAAUCCGUUGAUCCAUUGAAGACCACCAGUGGCGAAGGCGGCAUCCUGGACCAAUACUGACGCUGAGGAGCGAAAGCCAGGGGAGCAAACGGG
This 253-nucleotide ribosomal RNA is filed under the name uncultured bacterium. RNAcentral describes it as "partial 16S ribosomal RNA". It matches the Rfam family "Archaeal small subunit ribosomal RNA", at positions 474 to 727 of the family's 1478-position model. The record is from RNAcentral.